CUAAGUUUGAUGGCGACCGGCGCACGGGUGAGUAACACGUAUCCAACCUGCCGAUAACUCGGGGAUAGCCUUUCGAAAGAAAGAUUAAUACCCGAUGGCAUAAUAGAACCGCAUGGUUGAUUAUUAAAGAAUUUCGGUUAUCGAUGGGGAUGCGUUCCAUUAGGCAGUUGGUGGGGUAACGGCCCACCAAACCUUCGAUGGAUAGGGGUUCUGAGAGGAAGGUCCCCCACAUUGGGACUGAGACACGGCCCAGACUCCUACGGGAGGCAGCAUG
Molecule: ribosomal RNA, 274 nt
Filed under: uncultured bacterium
Lineage: Bacteria
Description: partial 16S ribosomal RNA
Rfam family: Bacterial small subunit ribosomal RNA
Source: RNAcentral